CCUACGGGAGGCAGCAGUAGGGAAUAUUGCUCAAUGGGGGAAACCCUGAAGCAGCAACGCCGCGUGGAGGAUGAAGGUUUUCGGAUUGUAAACUCCUUUUGUUAGAGAAGAUAAUGACGGUAUCUAACGAAUAAGCACCGGCUAACUCCGUGCCAGCCGCCGCGGUAAUACGGAGGGUGCAAGCGUUACUCGGAAUCACUGGGCGUAAAGAGCGCGUAGGCGGGAUAGCAAGUCAGAUGUGAAAUACUAUGGCUUAACCAUAGAACUGCAUUUGAAACUGGUAUGCUAGAGUAUGGGAGAGGUAGGUGGAAUUCUUGGUGUAGGGGUAAAAUGCGUAGAGAUCAAGAGGAAUACUGAUUGCGAAGGCGACCUGCUAGAACAUAACUGACGCUGAUGCGCGAAAGCGUGGGGAGCAAACAGGAUUAGAUACCCUUGUAGUC
RNAcentral lists this ribosomal RNA (440 nucleotides) under uncultured bacterium. RNAcentral's name for it is "partial 16S ribosomal RNA". It matches the Rfam family "Bacterial small subunit ribosomal RNA", at positions 338 to 795 of the family's 1533-position model. The record is from RNAcentral.